RNAcentral lists this long non-coding RNA (226 nucleotides) under Mytilus galloprovincialis (Mediterranean mussel). Lineage: Eukaryota; Metazoa; Mollusca; Bivalvia; Mytilida; Mytilidae. The record is from RNAcentral.
GUAACUUGUCUAUUUUUGGCCAAAGAAACGCUAGACAAAUUUGAACUCAUCCGUUCAAGGUUAUUGCUUUCAUCAAUUCAAUUGUUAAUUUAGCGUCGAUCCACAGCUGACUGGUAAUGCAGAGCAAAGGUCAUCAUCGAGGUCACAAGUGUCAGGACCAUUAAGAUGUCAAUAGCCAAUAGCCCUGGGCAAACAAUGUUUUUAUGAAAUAGCUGAGAAAAUCACC